RNAcentral lists this ribosomal RNA (253 nucleotides) under uncultured bacterium. Its description in RNAcentral is "partial 16S ribosomal RNA". It matches the Rfam family "Bacterial small subunit ribosomal RNA", at positions 524 to 776 of the family's 1533-position model. The record is from RNAcentral.
UACGUAUGGUGCAAGCGUUAUCCGGAUUUACUGGGUGUAAAGGGAGCGUAGGCGGCGCGUUAAGUCUGAUGUGAAAACCCGAGGCUCAACCACAGGAGUGCAUUGGAAACUGGCGGGCUGGAGUGCCGGAGAGGUAAGCGGAAUUCCUAGUGUAGCGGUGAAAUGCGUAGAUAUUAGGAGGAACACCAGUGGCGAAGGCGGCUUACUGGACGGCAACUGACGCUGAGGCUCGAAAGCGUGGGGAGCAAACAGG